GGAGAAGCAACGUGAUGAGCAUUGCUGGCUGGAGCUCCAAAGGGGCACCUGUGUGUGUGUGUGUGUGUGUGUGUGUGUGUGUGUGUGUGUGUGUGUGUGUGUGUGUGUGUGUGUGUGUGUCUGUACCCUUGUCUGUGCAUGCACACGUCUGUCUGGGAGUAUGCGUGAGUGUGGCUGGUUGUAGGGACCUAGUUAUGUGCCUCCUUUUGGACGAUGAUAGUCAAAAACUGAUAAGAUCUGAUUGCUUC
RNAcentral lists this small nucleolar RNA (248 nucleotides) under Sus scrofa (pig). RNAcentral describes it as "Small nucleolar RNA ZL1 (ENSSSCG00045037615.1)". It matches the Rfam family "Small nucleolar RNA ZL1". From Rfam's summary of the family: Host gene TRRAP. Predicted target U2@U47. Only GU-rich region is homologous to other known snoRNAs. Lineage: Eukaryota; Metazoa; Chordata; Mammalia; Artiodactyla; Suidae. The record is from RNAcentral.